UACGGGGGGGGCAAGCGUUGUUCGGAAUUACUGGGCGUAAAGGGCUCGUAGGCGGCCAACUAAGUCAGACGUGAAAUCCCUCGGCUUAACCGGGGAACUGCGUCUGAUACUGGAUGGCUUGAGUUUGGGAGAGGGAUGCGGAAUUCCAGGUGUAGCGGUGAAAUACGUAGAUAUCUGGAGGAACACCGGUGGCGAAGGCGGCAUCCUGGACCAACACUGACGCUGAGUGAGCGAAAGCCAGGGGAGCAAACGGG
RNAcentral lists this ribosomal RNA (254 nucleotides) under uncultured bacterium. Its description in RNAcentral is "partial 16S ribosomal RNA". It matches the Rfam family "Bacterial small subunit ribosomal RNA", at positions 524 to 776 of the family's 1533-position model. The record is from RNAcentral.